Molecule: small nucleolar RNA, 66 nt
Organism: Microtus ochrogaster (prairie vole)
Lineage: Eukaryota; Metazoa; Chordata; Mammalia; Rodentia; Cricetidae
Gene: SNORD58
Rfam family: Small nucleolar RNA SNORD58
About the family: snoRNA U58 is found in introns 1, 3 and 6 of the ribosomal protein RPL17 gene in humans. U58 is a member of the C/D class of snoRNA which contain C (UGAUGA) and D (CUGA) box motifs.
Source: Ensembl
CUGCGAUGAUGUCAUUUCUUAGGACACCUUUGGAUUGGCCGUGAAAAUAACUCUCCUCUGAGCAGC